GGAGGAAUAUUGGUCAAUGGACGGAAGUCUGAACCAGCCAUGCCGCGUGAAGGAAUAAGGCCCUAUGGGUCGUAAACUUCUUUUGUGGUGGAGCAAUAAGAUCUACGCGUAGGUCGAUGAGAGUACAUCACGAAUAAGCAUCGGCUAACUCCGUGCCAGCAGCCGCGGUAAUACGGAGGAUGCAAGCGUUAUCCGGAAUUAUUGGGUUUAAAGGGUGCGUAGGCUGUUUUGCAAGUCAGGGGUGAAAGCCCGGAGCUCAACUCCGGAACUGCCUUUGAUACUGCGAGGCUGGAAUGCGCUUGAGGUAGGCGGAAUGCGUUGUGUAGCGGUGAAAUGCAUAGAUAUGACGCAGAACUCCGAUUGCGAAGGCAGCUUACCAAAUCGCUACUGACGCUGAGGCACGAAAGCGUGGGGAUCGAACAGGAUUAGAUACCCUGGUAGUCCCUAGACUGCCAAGGGCAC
Molecule: ribosomal RNA, 462 nt
Filed under: uncultured Olivibacter sp.
Lineage: Bacteria; Pseudomonadati; Bacteroidota; Sphingobacteriia; Sphingobacteriales; Sphingobacteriaceae
Description: bacterial SSU rRNA
Rfam family: Bacterial small subunit ribosomal RNA
Source: RNAcentral